This 605-nucleotide long non-coding RNA is filed under the name Homo sapiens (human). RNAcentral's name for it is "non-protein coding lnc-FBN1-3:7". Lineage: Eukaryota; Metazoa; Chordata; Mammalia; Primates; Hominidae. The record is from RNAcentral.
ACAGCCUCAAGCCGCGUGGAUUCCUUCCAGACGGCCGGAGCCCCUCCCCCGCCUUUCCUACCCGGCCCCGGCGCCGGGCUUCCCCCCGCCUUAGGAAGCUCGCCCUUCCAGCCAGCGGCCCCGACUGUACUGGCUCCGCGGCAGCCUUGGCUCAGGCGGCCAGCGCUGGACAGCGGCCGGGGAAUCCCGUGCUGCGCGGCGCGGCCGAGGGGCGGGCCUGGCCCGGAGAGUACCGCGGCUUCGGCCCUCUGCCGUGCGCCUCGCGCGUUUUGCAUCGCUGAGCGAAGCAGAGACCCUGACACAUUUUUGUUGAAUCAAUUGACAAAAGAACUGACACCAGAUGGCCAAUCAACUCAAGAGAAAGAUUGCUUGGGUUGCUAUGAGGAAGAGGAGGAGUAAGGCCUGAUGUGGAAAGACCUUUGAGAAGAUGUUGAAAUGAGGCAGAGGAGGAGCUAGGCCUGAUGUGGAAAGACCCUUGAGAAGGCUCCUGCAGUGAUCCAGGAUAAUGAGGACAUGUGACAAAUACCAAAUUAACAUGGUGGACAUCAGAAGAGGACAUCUUGGGACAAAGGUCCAGCUUUGAAGAAAAGUAUUUUUGUAUAAAU